GAAGAUAAGCCGUCUUUUUUUAAAGUGAAAAAUGAUAAUCUUACAUAUUUUUAAUGUAGUUUUUCCAUUUUUUGUGCUGUAUGUUUACAUAUUAUUUAUAAUUUUCGAAAAUUAGUAAAAUUAAAAUGUAAAACUAUAUUUUAUGCAACUUGUCAUCUUUCGGGAUAAGUUUUUUUGCUGAUGUGGACGCUCUAUGGAGUCUUAAAAGGUCUCUUUUAUUAGUAAGGAUUUUUUUUAUAAAACGGUAAUGUUACAUUAUGGAGAUAAACCGUCUUUAUUUUAAGUGAAAAAUGGUAAUUUUACAUAUCUUUAAUGUAGUUUUCCAUUUUUUAUGCUGUAUGUUUACAUAUUAUUUAUAAUUUUCGAAAAUUAGUAAUAUUAAAAUGUAAAACUAUAUUUUAUGCCACGUGUCAUCUUUCGGGAGAAGUUUUUUUGCUGAUGUAGACGCUCUAUGUAAAAUAUGAUAAUCUUACAUAUGUUUAGUGUAGUAUUUCCAUUUUUUAUGUUGUAUUUUUACAUAUAUUUAUUAUUCGCAAAAUUAUAUAGAAUGUUUUUUGUUUUUUUUAUAAAACGGUAAUGUUACAUUAUGAAGAUAAGCCGUCUUUUUUUAAAGUGAAAAAUGAUAAUCUUACAUAUUUUUAAUGUAGUUUUUCCAUUUUUUGUGCUGUAUAUUUACAUAUUAUUUAUAAUUUUCGAAAAUUAGUAAAAUUAAAAUGUAAAACUAUAUUUUAUGCAACUUGUCAUCUUUCGGG
Molecule: long non-coding RNA, 752 nt
Filed under: Brassica rapa (field mustard)
Lineage: Eukaryota; Viridiplantae; Streptophyta; Magnoliopsida; Brassicales; Brassicaceae
Description: long non-coding RNA (BRAP_LNC006228)
Source: RNAcentral